UUUGACGGCGUGCCUUUUGCAUAAUGAUCCUACGAGUUGCACCUCACUAGCAAGGUUAAGUACUUAAGUUACGGAGCCGCAGCGAAAGCGAGUCCGAAUAGGGCGAUUUAGUUAGUGGGGGCAGACGCGAAACUUUGUGAUCUAUCCAUGGGCAGGAUGAAGGUGUGGUAACACACACUGGAGGUCCGAACGGGUUAACGUUGAAAAGUUAUCCGAUGACCUGUGGAUAGGGGUGAAAAGCCAAUCAAACAC
Molecule: ribosomal RNA, 252 nt
Filed under: Ctenophora environmental sample
Lineage: Eukaryota; Metazoa; Ctenophora
Description: partial Bacterial large subunit ribosomal RNA
Rfam family: Bacterial large subunit ribosomal RNA
Source: RNAcentral